RNAcentral lists this RNase P RNA (346 nucleotides) under pig gut metagenome. RNAcentral describes it as "Bacterial RNase P class A". It matches the Rfam family "Bacterial RNase P class A". From Rfam's summary of the family: Ribonuclease P (RNase P) is a ubiquitous endoribonuclease, found in archaea, bacteria and eukarya as well as chloroplasts and mitochondria. Its best characterised activity is the generation of mature 5'-ends of tRNAs by cleaving the 5'-leader elements of precursor-tRNAs. The record is from RNAcentral.
GAGUGGGUUGGGCAGUCGCGGGCAGUGCAAACUGCGUGAGGAAAGUCCGAGCUUCACAGAGCGGGAUAACGGCUAACGGCCGCCGAGGGUGACCUUAGGGAAAGUGCAACAGAGAUAUACCGCCUGCAAAGCAGGUAAGGGUGGAAAGGCGAGGUAAGAGCUCACCGGCGCGCGGGGAACCGCGCGGCCCUGCAAACCCUAUCCGAAGCAACACCGACUGGGGGAGGAGCUCAGGCUCCGGCGUUUGCUCGACGAUACUCCGACGGGUGGCUGAAGCUCUGCGGCAACGCAGAGCGUAGACAGAUGAUUGCCUUAAAAGACAGAACUCGGCUUACAGACCCUCUCG